RNAcentral lists this ribosomal RNA (111 nucleotides) under uncultured bacterium. RNAcentral describes it as "partial 16S ribosomal RNA". It matches the Rfam family "Bacterial small subunit ribosomal RNA", at positions 1365 to 1482 of the family's 1533-position model. The record is from RNAcentral.
AAUACGUUCCCGGGCCUUGUACACACCGCCCGUCAAGCCAUGGAAGUCUGGGGUACCUGAAGUCGGUGACCGUAACAGGAGCUGCCUAGGGUAAAACAGGUAACUAGGGCU